This 308-nucleotide ribosomal RNA is filed under the name uncultured eukaryote. RNAcentral's name for it is "partial 18S ribosomal RNA". It matches the Rfam family "Eukaryotic small subunit ribosomal RNA", at positions 1469 to 1796 of the family's 1831-position model. The record is from RNAcentral.
ACCCUUAGACGUUCUGGGCCGCACGCGCGCUACACUGACGAAGGCAACGAGCUUUCCUUUACCGAAAGGUACGGGUAAUCUUUUGAAACUUCGUCGUGCUGGGGAUAGAUCCUUGCAAUUUUUGAUCUUAAACGAGGAAUGCCUAGUAAGCGCAAGUCAUCAACUUGCGUUGAUUACGUCCCUGCCCUUUGUACACACCGCUCGUCGCUACUACCGAUUGAAUGGUUUAGUGAGGCCUUCGGAUCCGCGACUCGUUUGUGGAGAAGUUGGACAAACUCAGUCAUUUAGAGGAAGUAAAAGUCGUAACA